This 1201-nucleotide long non-coding RNA is filed under the name Homo sapiens (human). RNAcentral describes it as "non-protein coding lnc-ZNF705D-2:53". Lineage: Eukaryota; Metazoa; Chordata; Mammalia; Primates; Hominidae. The record is from RNAcentral.
UCAAGUUCGGGAGGCGUUACCUGCGGAGGGUUUGAGGCAGGCCCAAGAGCGAGCCCAUGGUCUUCCGACGCGGGGCCAGGGGCGGGCCCCAGGAUCCGGAGCUUCGUGCGGGGCCGAGUCCAGGUUUGGGGCCCGGGAGGCGGGGCCAGUUAGGGCGACUGUCCCUGGGAUCGUCGGGUCAGGCCUUGGGCUAACGUAGGCACUCUCGCAGUUCCUCCGCCUUCAGGAAGGUCUUUUCAGCAGGGGCCUUACGGGUGCAUGCUUCGGUCCUGGAGGCCUUAUCCUAGCCUCCUCUCCAUCAGCGCCACCCGUCUGGGGCCCGAAAGGAGGGAGCUUUCCCUCUGUCCCCCAGCCUUUGGACUGUCACCAAACAAGCCAUUCGUUCAUCAAAUACUUUUUAAGCGCCUACCAUGUGCCUGACAAGGGAGAUGUAACGGUGAGAAAAACUAGGUGUGGUCCAGGCCCUUCAGGGGCUCAGGUGCUCGUGGAAGAAGUGGACAUUGAAGUACUUAUCACACAAAUGAGGAUAAAAGUACGAUAGCGAUAUCUACCACGAAGCUGUUGUUCCCCACCAGAACCAAAUGAGCGCAAGAUCUGACAAAGAAAAAAAAAGGUUCAUCUUUUAUUCCUCCAAACACUUUCAUUUAAAUCAAGAGGAUGGGAUGUGGUUAUUGCUGUGUUUUUAGACAGAAUCAACGGUUUCUGGGUCUGAGAUGUUGCAUACACCUUCUCAGUCCCUGUAUCCUGAGAUGGAGUCACCUGAGAAUCCACAGCAAGUCCUAACCAGGGAUGGGUCUGGGUGAUUAAGGAAGGUUGGCUUCAGAACUGGGCCAGGGGCACUGCUUUGCUUUUGCUGUUUUGAUCAGCUCUCUGCCUGAAGGAGACAAGAAAAACCAACGGGAACAGCCCAGUAAAGGCGCCAUUCCCCAUUUUACAGCUGGGGAAACUGAGUUACAGAGCUUGUCUGCACUGAGUCAUCAGGAGCAAAUGCUAGAUCAGAUAGGGUCUCUCUCUCUGCCACCCAGGCCAGAGUGCAGUUGACGCAGGGCAGGGGAGCCCCGAAGUGGAGCAUAGUGUGUCCGGAACUGGUGGGUUCUUGGUCUCACUGACUUCAAGAAAGAAGCCGCGGACCCUCGCGGUGAGUGUCACAGUUCUUAAAGGCUGCGUGUCCAGAGUUUGUUCCUUCUGAUGCUCGGAUGUG